Molecule: ribosomal RNA, 253 nt
Filed under: uncultured bacterium
Lineage: Bacteria
Description: partial 16S ribosomal RNA
Rfam family: Bacterial small subunit ribosomal RNA
Source: RNAcentral
UACGGAGGGUGCGAGCGUUGUCCGGAAUCAUUGGGCGUAAAGGGCGCGUAGGUGGCGGGACAAGCGUGCGGUGAAAGCCUGGGGCUCAACCCCGGGUCGGCCGUGCGAACUGUUUUGCUUGAGCACUGUAGAGGCAGGCGGAAUUCCGGGUGUAGCGGUGGAGUGCGUAGAGAUCCGGAAGAACACCGGUGGCGAAGGCGGCCUGCUGGGCAGUAGCUGACACUGAGGCGCGACAGCGUGGGGAGCAAACAGG